RNAcentral lists this ribosomal RNA (470 nucleotides) under uncultured bacterium. Its description in RNAcentral is "bacterial SSU rRNA". It matches the Rfam family "Bacterial small subunit ribosomal RNA", at positions 28 to 507 of the family's 1533-position model. The record is from RNAcentral.
GACGAACGCUGGCGGCGUGCCUAACACAUGCAAGUCGAGCGGAGGUACAAUGAGAGCAAUCGAGAUGUACUUUAGCGGCGGACGGGUGAGUAACGCGUGAGCAACCUGCCUAUCACAGGGGGAUAAGGCGGCGAAAGCCGCUCUAAUACCGCAUGAGACCCUCAAAGCGAUGCAAUGGGGGUGAAAGGGCGAUCCGGUGAGAGAUGGGCUCGCGUCCGAUUAGGUAGUUGGUAGGGUAAGGGCCUACCAAGCCAAUGAUCGGUAGCCGGCCUGAGAGGGUGAACGGCCACAUUGGAACUGAGAGACGGUCCAAACUCCUACGGGAGGCAGCAGUGGGGAAUAUUGGGCAAUGGGCGGAAGCCUGACCCAGCAACGCCGCGUGAGGGAAGAAGGUUUUCGGAUUGUAAACCUCUGUUCUUGGGGAAGAGGAGGAGACGGUACCCAAGGAGGAAGCCACGGCAAACUACGUG